AGUAGCUUGCUACUUNACCUAGCGGCGGACGGGUGAGUAAUGCUUAGGAAUCUGCCUAUUAGUGGGGGACAACAUCUCGAAAGGGAUGCUAAUACCGCAUACGUCCUACGGGAGAAAGCAGGGGACCUUCGGGCCUUGCGCUAAUAGAUGAGCCUAAGUCGGAUUAGCUAGUUGGUGGGGUAAAGGCCUACCAAGGCGACGAUCUGUAGCGGGUCUGAGAGGAUGAUCCGCCACACUGGGACUGAGACACGGCCCAGACUCCUACGGGAGGCAGCAGUGGGGAAUAUUGGACAAUGGGGGGAACCCUGAUCCAGCCAUGCCGCGUGUGUGAAGAAGGCCUUUUGGUUGUAAAGCACUUUAAGCGAGGAGGAGGCUACCGAGAUUAAUACUCUUGGAUAGUGGACGUUACUCGCAGAAUAAGCACCGGCUAACUCUGUGCCAGCAGCCGCGGUAAUACAGAGGGUGCAAGCGUUAAUCGGAUUUACUGGGCGUAAAGCGCGCGUAGGUGGCCAAUUAAGUCAAAUGUGAAAUCCCCGAGCUUAACUUGGGAAUUGCAUUCGAUACUGGUUGGCUAGAGUAUGGGAGAGGAUGGUAGAAUUCCAGGUGUAGCGGUGAAAUGCGUAGAGAUCUGGAGGAAUACCGAUGGCGAAGGCAGCCAUCUGGCCUAAUACUGACACUGAGGUGCGAAAGCAUGGGGAGCAAACAGGAUUAGAUACCCUGGUAGUCCAUGCCGUAAACGAUGUCUACUAGCCGUUGGGGCCUUUGAGGCUUUAGUGGCGCAGCUAACGCGAUAAGUAGACCGCCUGGGGAGUACGGUCGCAAGACUAAAACUCAAAUGAAUUGACGGGGGCCCGCACAAGCGGUGGAGCAUGUGGUUUAAUUCGAUGCAACGCGAAGAACCUUACCUGGUCUUGACAUAGUAAGAACUUUCCAGAGAUGGAUUGGUGCCUUCGGGAACUUACAUACAGGUGCUGCAUGGCUGUCGUCAGCUCGUG
Molecule: ribosomal RNA, 995 nt
Filed under: Acinetobacter lwoffii
Lineage: Bacteria; Pseudomonadati; Pseudomonadota; Gammaproteobacteria; Moraxellales; Moraxellaceae
Description: bacterial SSU rRNA
Rfam family: Bacterial small subunit ribosomal RNA
Source: RNAcentral